RNAcentral lists this ribosomal RNA (253 nucleotides) under uncultured bacterium. Its description in RNAcentral is "partial 16S ribosomal RNA". It matches the Rfam family "Bacterial small subunit ribosomal RNA", at positions 524 to 776 of the family's 1533-position model. The record is from RNAcentral.
UACGGGGGGUGCUAGCGUUAUUCGGAAUCAUUGGGCGUAAAGGGCGCGUAGGCGGUCUUUUAAGUCAGAUGUGAAAGCCCUCGGCUUAACCGAGGUAGUGCAUUUGAUACUAAGAGACUUGAGUAUGGGAGAGGGAAGCGGAAUUCCUGGUGUAGCGGUGAAAUGCGUAGAUAUCAGGAGGAACACCGGUGGCGAAGGGGGCUUCCGGGACCAAUACUGACUCUGAGGCGCGAAGGCGUGGGGAGCAAACAGG